This is a long non-coding RNA of Syngnathoides biaculeatus (alligator pipefish), 947 nucleotides long. RefSeq lists it as uncharacterized. The record is from RefSeq and is a predicted model, not a curated record. NCBI's taxonomy places the organism in Eukaryota, Metazoa, Chordata, Actinopteri, Syngnathiformes, Syngnathidae. The transcript has 3 exons.
CUUGUUGUCCGACAGGCGCGGGCAGUGGAAGCCGAAGUGGUAGCGGCCCUUUUGGUCGGAGUAGGGCUCGCACACCCGAUAGUGAGCCGAGAGCGCUGCAGCAGAAGAACAAAAAGUGAUCAAACGGGGCGUCAUGUACGACGCCGCUCGAAUCACAACGCCGGGGCUCUGUCCCUGAUUGUCAUGGCAACAAAAUCCGGACUCGCCAUUGGCCCGGCGGUGCACGGGACGAGGCUGUUUUCAAUUGUGAGGAAAAAUACAUGGUACGUCUCUUAAGUCCAAUUCAAUUGAACUCCGCGUGUUUGCUUUUUAAUCAUCAGAGCUCAAAAAGCAGCCCCGAGGAGGAGAUGAAGGUCCACUCACACCGCGGACGGUAGACGUCUUUCAGUCGAUCAGCAUCUGAAUAGCGGCGAUCUCUUUCAGGUUCUAAUCCGCCUGCUGCGGUGCAGCCACCUCCGGCCUCCAGCAGGACAAUGUCGGCGUGAAAGGGAAACGAACGGCGCGGCGGGAAGGCGAAAGCGUUUCGUUCGACCUUUCCGCUCGCUACACGUGUCGGGGACAAUGAAACGGAACCAGUUUGCAAUUUUGCGUUUCAUAAAUCUGGGCACAUAAAAAGGAGCGCUGAGCGAGCGAAAAGUAGACCGUAAAGUGUAUUAAUGAUGAGGGUCGUUAAAGGAAGUGUCAAAUUGGCUCCUUCAGGGGACACCGGGCUGUUUUGGCAUUUACCUGCUGGAUUGAUUUUAACACACCGUAAAAUUUGGUCAUAACGGCCCACUGCGGGAGACCGGAACAACAAUGUGGCCCGCGAGAAAAAUGAGUUUGACACCCCUGCACUACACGAUUAUCAUGAAGUCCUGGACUGGCUCCAUCUUUCCCUAAUGUUUAGAAAAUGGAUGCAUGAAGAAACCUACAAAAUGUGAGCUUUUGAGGAUAGGCAGUCUGAAAAA